Molecule: long non-coding RNA, 1174 nt
Organism: Sus scrofa (pig)
Lineage: Eukaryota; Metazoa; Chordata; Mammalia; Artiodactyla; Suidae
Source: RefSeq, a predicted model, not a curated record
CUGGCCAGGUCCAGGUUGGAUUCGAAUACAGAGCUUCAGAUUCCAAAUACGGUGUCAUCCCACCCUCCCACCGCUGGUCCAUUGAUUCCUGAGAGAGUUCUGGCUCCUCUUCAUUUUACACUCAUAUUAGGGAUCUGGCGUUGUCCCUGCAGCCACUUGGGUCCCUGCUAUGGUGGAGGUUCUGUCCCUGGCCUCGGAACUUCUGCAUGCCGUGGGCAAGGCCACACACACACACACAAAAGGGAGCCCGAAGACCACCCCAAAGAAAAAUCGGACUGAUUCAAUCAAUCGGUCCUAGCUGGCAUCGGCACAGGAAUAGCAUCAGGUCUGAUUGGGAGCAUCUCAGCCUUUUCAGAUGAUGAUUCAUCAUAAGGACACAUCAGUGACCCUGACUGGAGUCCAGUUCCAAGGAGGAAACCCGAAGCAUCCGCGACAGGCCAGGCCCCAAGAGGAUGCUGCCCAGAGAGAAACAGGACCUGCCCAGAGGCUCUCCCAGGCUGAGGAGGAAGCUGCCAAGAACAGUUUUACCUCUGACUGUGAAAAACCUCACAGACCAACUGCUAUGGGGAUUUGUAGCUUGCUGUGGGGCCCAGAGGAAGGGGACUCAUUCUGGCUGGAGUGGCAUAGGAAAGCUUCCUGGAGGAGGUGGCAUUUGACAGGGGUCUGGUAAGCAGAGAAGGAGAGGUAGCGUGAAGAGGAUCCACAUCUCAUAGUUGUGUGAACGGGGUCUGGAGCUUGAGUUUUCUAAGCUCUAUGUGGGGAAGGGUGGCAGUGAUGGUUGUAAAGAUGAAAUCAGCUGCAUAUGGAAGAAUCUGGCACAAAAUGCAUUUAACCUUGAAUGGCAGCGAAUGCAGAAGCAUGUACGUGAGCUGAGUUAUGAGUGGUGUCUUUGGAAACGAGGGCGGCAUAUGUUGACAGUGAUUAUUUCUGGGCACUAGGAGUUUCACAGGUAAUGUUUACUUUUCUCUUUAUCCUGUUCUGUGUUGGUUGGAAUGUUUACAAAGAACACAUGCUAUUUGCAAAAUGGUUAAAAAGUUCUUUGUGAAAAGAAAAAAACUAUUUGUGUUCUAAUACUUAAAAAAUAAUUUGAACCUGCAGAAAAGUAGCGAAAAUGUAACUCCUAUCAACUUUCACCCAGAUUCGCUUAUUAACAUUUUGCCACACUUGUACUCUC